AAAGCGUGCGCAGGCGGUUAUGUAAGACAGAUGUGAAAUCCCCGGGCUCAACCUGGGAACUGCAUUUGUGACUGCAUGGCUAGAGUACGGUAGAGGAGGAUGGAAUUCCGCGUGUAGCAGUGAAAUGCGUAGAUAUGCGGAGGAACACCGAUGGCGAAGGCAAUCCCCUGGACCUGUACUGACGCUCAUGCACGAAAGCGUGGGGAGCAAACAGGAUUAGAUACCCUGGU
This 230-nucleotide ribosomal RNA is filed under the name uncultured bacterium. Its description in RNAcentral is "partial 16S ribosomal RNA". It matches the Rfam family "Bacterial small subunit ribosomal RNA", at positions 562 to 791 of the family's 1533-position model. The record is from RNAcentral.